UCGUGGCCCUGCAGCGUGCGCUGCGCUCCCUCCCCCCGCCGUGCCAUGGGUGACCCGUUCCGGAGGGCGGAGUCGGGCACUCAGCCACUUGCACGACUUGAGGGCAGAAGUGCUCUGAAGAAUCUUGAACCUUAUCUGUUUGCUGAGGAAGGAUCUCCUGUUCAUGGAGAUGUCAUUGAAUUCCAUGGACCAGAAGGAACAGGAAAAACAGAAAUGCUUUAUCACCUAGUAGCCCGCUGCAUCAUCCCAAAAUCAGGAGGAGGUCUGGAAGUGGAAGUCAUGUUCAUUGAUACAGAUUACCAUUUUGAUAUGCUUCGUCUAGUUACCAUCCUUGAGAACAGAUUGGCAGAAAGGACAGAAGAAAUGAUCAAGCAAUGCCUGGGAAGGCUCUUUCUGGUGAACUGCAGUAGUAGCACUGAGUUACUCCUCACUCUCUACUCUUUAGAAAACAUGUUUUGCACUCACCCCUCUCUCUGCCUUUUGAUUUUAGAUAGCAUAUCAGCUUUUUACUGGAUAGACAGAAGCAACGGAGGGGAGAGUCUCACCUUGCAGGAAAUGAAUCUGAAGAAAUGUGCUAACUUCCUUGAAAAGCUUGUGAGCAAGCAUCAUUUAGCCCUCUUUGCAACAACACAGACGCUUAUGCAGAAAUCUGCAAACUCUGCAGAAAGCUUUUUCCCUUUAAAACUGACACACGAAACUGAUACAGACUAUAGACCAUAUCUUUGUAAAUCAUGGCAACAAAUGGUAACCCACAGGGUAUUUUUCUCUAAGCACUGUAAUUCUGACAACAGCAAAGGUUUCACAGUCACUUCUUGCCACCUCAAAAGGAACCAUGUAGUAAAACGUUCAUUUAGUAUUGCAGAAUGUGGAGUUCAGUUUUAAUUUCAGUUUGUUUUUUAAACGUGUAGCAAAUCCUGGUGCUUAAUCCUCACUGGGCCUAGGGAGCUUUUAGUACCUUUUAAACUAGUUGGUUGUUGCUGGAUAAUUAAGAAUUUUUGUCACGAUUCUGUCACAAGAUUUUAAUUUGGUGAAGGGCAGGAAGCAUUAACCUAUUUGAAGUACUGUAUACGUUCAGUUCAAACUAGUGAGGAAUGUUGAAAUUACUUGUUUGUACUUAAUGAAUGAAGAGAUGAAAUCAAGAAAACCGUAAUCAAAGACAUUCUGAACUCCUGGUAUCCUUCAGUAAUCUAACCUAUGUGAUAUGUGGCCAAAUGCACUGACUUCAUUUCUGUGUCUUACUGCUUUAUACUCCUCUUCCAAACUACAGAACUAGGAGCCUUGUUGUCCAUGGAGGAGACUGCAAAAAGGCGAGUGUUCACUGUUUAGAAAUCCUGAUCUAGGUUUAUUCCUAGUAGCCUGGGACAUAUGAAAUGCAUUCACAACUUUGCCUGAAGAAGAGGAUUCAUUUUCACAGUCUGUUAAACAGUGGUAACCUUGACCAUGCUUCCCCAAGCUCGCAGCCUCUCUGUAUUAGCGUGUGCUUGGAGAAGUAAGGAUUGCAGGUGUUUUGACCCUUACAAACCUCUGGGUCUGAAGAAUUUACAGUGAUCAUAGAAAUGGAGGCCUGAUUGCCUUCAGGAGCCAUGAAUUAAAACUAAAGACCCAGCUCUGGGUACCUGUGAGUUUGUGCUGCAUGCUGCAAACAGUUUAGGCUUUGAAAAUAAUGGCAUGUGGGUUAUGGGUUGUUCUGGGUGCGGGGGGCUGUUUUUUGUUGGUUUCUUUAGAUGUAUGCACAGACAUAUGUUUGUGUUUUCUUUCUCUGCCCUCCCUCAUUAUUUCUUCCCACUUCUUUCUUUUUUCCCACUCUCUCUAAGAAAUCCAGGAAUGCCAUGCCUCUGGUCUUCACCAAUAUGUAUUUGCCACAUGUAGAACAUUUGUGUGCAGGAUUUGGCAUGCAACAUGUUGCAAUUCUGGCAAAGAAGAUUCAGAACUUAUGGGAAAUGCCCUACAGUUCUGGCAAAGAAUAGCAUAUUAUUUAUUAACCUAGAGUGCCCUUUGAAAGCUUCAAAGUGCUUUACAAGAAAGAAAAUUGCACACAGUACAUUAUUUAAUACAAAAACUUACAUUAGCUUACAAAUUUAAAUUACUCAAACAAGGGGGAAAAUAUUUCUCACAGCAAUAUUCGUUCAGUCAUGUUGCACAGCUUGUUUCAUAGUUUAGAUUGAACAGAUUGUUAACAAAAAUGCAUAUUAAGAAGAGGUAUCUAGCAUAGUAUCUUUUUGAGGAGGAUGCCUGAAAAACUCUGUUGUGAGACACCUUUUAAUUUCCUAACUUCUGAAGCCAGCUUUUUCAAGCUGAAUAUAUAUGUGGGUUCCCAGCUGUGUGUAGCUUGGUGUGCAUACCCAGACCUCUUUAUGCAGAGCUAGGACCAUGUAUCUGUACUGUUAUUCACAGAAUGUGGCAUCUCUAUGAUUUGGCUGGAUUUCUCCACAGGCAAUGAUUGUCCCACCUCCGACAGCAGCCAGUACCAAAGCUUUGGGAAGGAGUGUGAGACACACUGGUUUUCAAUGGCAUGGCCUCCUUGAGGAUGGGGCUCAGGGAGCUCCUAAGCAGAGCUGUGGUCAGACCUGUGUUUGAUGGACGUUGAUCAGACCUAUCUUCCAUAAGUUCAUCCAAUCCAUUUUUAACUUGCCCUCUUGGGUUCCACUGUGUUUUUUCACGAUGAGUUCAGUUUAAUUAUUCUUUCUGUGGGAAAACUUCCUUUUUUUGUUCCCCUCUCAUUUUAAAUCUUCCAUGUGAAUGCUUCCUCAUGCUGUCACUUCUUUUACUGUGACACAUGAGCAAAGUUUGCCUUUUCACCAUCUCUGCAGAGGUGAUAACUUUAUAGACUGUCACUUCAUUUGUGCUUUCUCUUCCAUCAACACCAGUACUUACUUUAUUUCAGAACUUCUGUAAGUGCACAAAUGCAUUAAAACAUACAACUUAACCAUUCCUACACUGGACCCAAGGUAGAUGGUUUUACAUGAGUAGACACUUCCACUCAGAUUAAUUACAAAGAUUUACAUGAUUUUUUUGUCAUAAAAAUUUUGGAAAGAUUUAAGUAGAACUAUAGAACUUUUAAAUGUGAAAAUUAACAGACUAUAUAAUUUCUAUUACAAAAAAAACAUCAAUCCCCCUUUCUAUUGGAGAAUAUAGCUCUACCGAGAUUUAACUGCUUUGUAAAAUCAUACUUACUAAAAAAAGUGUUUGGAAAAAAAAACCCAAAGCAAUGGAAGUGUUCUGGCAUUCCUGUCUGGAAAGAAAAGCUUUUAUGUUACAAUGUAGUUGAUAUUUUGCAUUGUACAAUAAAAGAAAUGCCUAAAUGGAAAUGAAGCCAAAGUUGUAACUGAUCAAAAAGAGCACCUCAGGAAAUUUUUUUAUUUCCCAGUUUUAUUUUUACUUUGAAAGAAAAAAGAAUUAUUUUUGUUUCAAUUCUCUGGUAAUUGCAAUAUUCAUGCUCUGCACGUUUGCUUUAGCAGCACCGCAAGCCUGGCUUUCAGAGGUGCUGAGCAUCUGCAUAUCCCUUUACAUUUGCAGGGAUAGGCAGUGUGCAAUCCGGGAGUGCACUGACCUUACUUUCUGCUAAAAUUAUGCCAUUUAGAAAAAUGAACCUUGAGGAUACAAGUCUAGGAAAGAUGCAGUGAUAAAGAGCCUGGGAAAGCAGCAAUUUUGUUCAUACCUUAAUGAACUGUGCAUAUUAAAAAUGGGUUUUUACCAUUUUUUAAAUGGUGAAUUAUCUUUAUUAAAACUGUAAAAAUUGCAGUUAAUGGAGAAUGCAGUUUCUCCUUGUGAGAACAGAAACAGUAUAUUAAAUGUAGCAUUAUAUAUAGUUUAUAGUAUUAAAUCCAUAUUAUUCUCUCUCACCUAGACCUAAAUUACUACCCAGCCUCCAGCCUGCUGUCUAACCUGGAGCAACCUGUGCUGCCACAGCUCAGUCUUCCAGGGAGGAAGCACCUUUUGUGUUAGCAGGUCUGUGCCACUGGAAAUCAGCCCUGCAAAAGAUAAAUGCAUGUCAUUAGCUCUAGGCGCCUUCCCAAGAGCCAGCACUUAGCUCCAAGAGCACUCACAGCUUUCUGUGUCAGGCCUGUGCUUUACUGGAAUUGGGUAGUUUUCUCCUUUGCUGAGAGUUUAUGUGUACACUUUUUAUGAUCAGCAUAGACUGGGAGAGCUGAAUACAGAAGACUGAACCCAUGUGGCACAUCAGUGUAAGCGGGAAAUAAUUUUGGAGACUUCAUUCUAUAUGCAGUCAGGAGUAAUGUCACAUUGGAGUAGAUGCUUUUGAAGAAACGUGGCUGUGACUUUCCUUGGGAAAAGGUUGGCAGUCUUCCCUCUGCUUUCCCGCACUGCUUUGCAUCCUACCCCAACCAACUGGUUGGUGUACCUGUGUGGGCCACAGUGCUUGAGGAUAGCAGUGACAAGAUGUCACUGCCUUGCCAAAUGCUGGGGAACAGCCAUGUUCUGCAUCUUGGCACCCUCAACCUGCAGGAGUUGGCACAACCACUAUAGUUUUUACUUUAAACCAUUUGCCAGGCUUCUUUCUCAUACAGAAGCCAGGCCUGUGCUAAAGACCUCCUAGCCCUGGGGAGAGAUAAGAAAGAUAAGAAAUCGUGGGCGUUUUGAGUAUAAGAACUACAAGAUUUUUAGGCCACUGUUAUAGAAAGGCCAAGCAAGGCCAUGAGGUUCCUGGUACUGGCUGAUAGAUGUCAAGGCCUAAAAGGUGGUUUGGAACAGACCAAAGGAACAGACUCCACAUCUUCCUUCCGCACUGCUCAUAUUGUGAAGGGAUGAAUAGGAUUUUUGACUUAGAAUCUAUGUGCAUACUUUCAUACUUUACCAUACUGCUGAGAGAGAAGACCAUGCUAUGGUGGGCAGUAUUGUCUCUGAAGUGAAUCUCAAGCCCUUCUCAAACUCCAUCACUGACAGUCCUGUCCCCAGCCCAACACCUCCGUGGACUCUGUGUCCAUCUCCUUGAACUAACAGCAGUGCUGCAGCGAUAAGUGAGUAUCAUCACAUUUGCCUUUACUGGGCAUGAGGGACACUGUGUGUGUUGGGCAUCGUCAUCUGGAGCAGGUCUGAGCCACGCUUUCCAACUUUAACAGUCCUCCAUAUCUGACAUGAUGCCACUGGUCAGUGAAAAUGCAAUAGCACGUCCACACCCUCUGAACAGCCAGACUUCCAACUGCAAACCUAUCCUCUGCCCUCAGUCAGCACCUCAGUAGUACCACUGCUGAGCCCCCAGCUGAAUCCCAAUCUCUUGUGCUGUGUUUUCCCUGAGGAAUCCUUUUCACAGAAGUGCACAGCUCCAGGUAUUAUCCCACAGUUAUGUAGCAAAUCCAUGCCAUAUUUGGACAAUGCAAUGAAUGGGUUUAGAAAAUCAGUGUACAUUAGCAGAGAUCUUGUCAAAGCAGGCUGAUUUCUGCUCAGUAAAAUAUCAGGCAGUUUUAACAGCUCUGAAGCUGCUUUUGACUUGCAAAACUGCUAAUAUUUUGCAAGUCAAAAGCAGCUUCAGAGUUGUUAAAAACAGUAUUUUUAGGUACAGAAAUUACUCUAGCGUGUCCUCAACAUUAUAAGGUCAGAAGAAGCCUCUCUCUGCACAGUGGCAGUUGUGCCAUUCCAGCUGCACAGCAUCCGGAGGUGUUGCUCUGCUGACUUCCAGCAGUACAUCACCUGCUGGGCUUGCCUUAUCCCUCCUCAAAAAGCAGCAUGCCUUUGCGAUUUGGGUUCAUGGAUGGGAUCAUGCCCUCUGGCCAAUGUCCUGCCUGCAGCAGGACAUGUAAGGACAUGAUGACAUGUAAGUCCUCAGCAGGUUCUCCACACAGUUAGUCUGUGGCUGGUCACAUCCUGCCUCACUGCUGUGGAAAGCAGUGCAGUAGAGGAAUAGCACGGCUUGUCCUGAGCACAUAAAGCCACCCCUGAAAUGAUGGAGGUUUCCUCUCCAUGUCCAGAACCCAUGGAAGGGCAGCUGGGACAGAGUCUCCAAGGCAGAGCUGUGCCCCAGGUGGGA
Melopsittacus undulatus (budgerigar) is the source of this 5983-nucleotide RNA transcript. It is a transcript of the gene named X-ray repair cross complementing 2, with no coding region annotated. Lineage: Eukaryota; Metazoa; Chordata; Aves; Psittaciformes; Psittaculidae. The record is from RefSeq and is a predicted model, not a curated record. The transcript has 4 exons.